Molecule: non-coding RNA, 1137 nt
Organism: Ictidomys tridecemlineatus (thirteen-lined ground squirrel)
Lineage: Eukaryota; Metazoa; Chordata; Mammalia; Rodentia; Sciuridae
Source: RefSeq, a predicted model, not a curated record
GCAUGUUUUGGAAGUUCAUCCACGAGGUAGCUGUGCCAGGAUUUCAUGGAAAAAAAUACAUAUAUAUAUAUAAAUACCCCACAGCCUGGGUGAGCCACUUGCCCUCAGUGCAUCUGUUGAUGGACACUGGGUUGUUCCUGAGCUUUGGGCGUUUUGAAUCCUGCAGGGCAAGUGUGAGGCAUCAUGACACCACCGCUGGGCACCUGUAGGGUGCACACUACCUCGUCUGUUCUCAAGCCAGUGGGGCUGCGGAGACCAGACAGUGAAGCCUUGCCAACUUGGGAACACAAAUAUUUGCCAGUCAAGAAAAUAUUCUCCCGUCAAUCAAAACCCAGACUAGCUGGCACACAUUGCCCUCCAGAAGCCGGAGGCAGAUUCUAUUUUGGCAGGAUCCAGGUGGCCUGCAGCUUCCCCUCCUCCUGAACACCCCCAGGCUCCUUGUCUUCCUACUUCAUUUUGAAGCCGAGGAGACUGAAACUCAGAGCGUCAUGAUUUAGCACUGAGUGAGCUGUUAUUUAUUUUCUUGGAGAGGAUUUGUCUUGAUACAUGACCGAAUGAAGGAUUCCUGAGUCACAGGCUCAUCCAGAGAUUCUGACAGGCGAGGGUGCUAACCAGCACUGUUGAUUCAGCAAUGUCCACGAUAUAGAAGGCACAGAAGGCAUGGGGUAUGCAUGGGCUGGCACAGCAGGUAGGUCUGCAUGGAAAACACGUUCACAAAUGGGUCCCCUCCUAAGUCGCACCUGGUGCUUGCUAACUGCUGAUUCUGAGCCUCUUCCCUUUCCAGCGCCAGAAUUGAACAGGUGUGGGGUGGGGUGGCAGGAUCUGCAUCUUUAUAGGUUUUUAACAAAUGUGUAGAGAGAGGGCAUCAGAGUAGGAAAUGGAAGGAAAAAUCCCUUCCUCCAUUUUGGUGCCCACACAGUAUUCAGGAGCUCUGAGCCUAAUAAGGCCAAACAAAUGCAGCUGCUCUUGGCCUUGUUGUUCGGAAGCCAGUGCAGAUGCCAUCUCCAGGACACUCAAAGUGUGGGCAGGCAGGCGCCUGGGGCAGGCGCAGGGACACAAAACUAGCGCCAGCUGCAGGACGACCCCAAAGUACCAGGUGCACAGCACCAGAGGGGCGCGGGGCAAGAGGUAGAGAGA